AUGAACGCUAGCUACAGGCUUAACACAUGCAAGUCAGGGGCAGCAUUGAGAUAGCUUGCAUUCAGAUGGCGACCGGCGCACGGGUGAGUAACGCGUAUCCAACUUCCCUAUAGUAGAGAAUAGCCCGGCGAAAGUCGGAUUAAUGCUCUAUAUGUUCAUUGAUGGCAUCAGAGAUUGAACAAGAAUUUCGCUAUAGGAUGGGGAUGCGUCUGAUUAGCUUGUUGGCGGGUAACGGCCCACCAAGGCAACGAUCAGUAGGGGUUCUGAGAGGAAGGUCCCCCACAUUGGUACUGAGACACGGACCAAACUCCUACGGGAGGCAGCAGUGAGGAAUAUUGGUCAAUGGGCGCAAGCCUGAACCAGCCAAGUAGCGUGCCAGGACGACUGCCCUAUGGGUUGUAAACUGCUUUUAUAGGGGAAUAAAGUGAGGUAUGUAUACCUUUUGUAUGUACCCUAUGAAUAAGGACCGGCUAAUUCCGUGCCAGCAGCAGC
Molecule: ribosomal RNA, 492 nt
Filed under: uncultured bacterium
Lineage: Bacteria
Description: bacterial SSU rRNA
Rfam family: Bacterial small subunit ribosomal RNA
Source: RNAcentral